ACGGAAGGCAGCAGUGAGGAAUAUUGGUCAAUGGACGGAAGUCUGAACCAGCCAAGUCGCGUGCGGGAUGAAGGCCCUACGGGUCGUAAACCGCUUUUGUACGGGGAUAAAGUCACCCACGUGUGGGUGUUUGUAGGUACCGUAAGAAUAAGGAUCGGCUAACUCCGUGCCAGCAGCCGCGGUAAUACGGAGGAUCCGAGCGUUAUCCGGAUUUAUUGGGUUUAAAGGGUGCGUAGGCGGUUUGUUAAGUCUGUGGUAAAAGCGUGUGGCUCAACCAUACCAAGCCAUGGAAACUGGCGGACUUGAGUGUAAACGAGGUAGGCGGAAUAUCACGUGUAGCGGUGAAAUGCUUAGAUAUGUGAUAGAACCCCGAUUGCGAAGGCAGCUUACCAGCAUACAACUGACGCUGAGGCACGAAAGCGUGGGUAUCAAACAGGAUUAGAUACCCUGGUA
This 453-nucleotide ribosomal RNA is filed under the name uncultured Porphyromonadaceae bacterium. RNAcentral's name for it is "partial 16S ribosomal RNA". It matches the Rfam family "Bacterial small subunit ribosomal RNA", at positions 341 to 792 of the family's 1533-position model. Lineage: Bacteria; Pseudomonadati; Bacteroidota; Bacteroidia; Bacteroidales; Porphyromonadaceae. The record is from RNAcentral.